This 496-nucleotide ribosomal RNA is filed under the name uncultured bacterium. Its description in RNAcentral is "bacterial SSU rRNA". It matches the Rfam family "Bacterial small subunit ribosomal RNA", at positions 903 to 1397 of the family's 1533-position model. The record is from RNAcentral.
AAAUGAAUAGACGGGGACCCGCACAAGCAGUGGAGCAUGUUGUUUAAUUCGAUGAAACGCGAAAAACCUUACCAAGACUUGACAUUUGAUGCAUAGACUGGAAACAGUUGAAAUUAUAGCAAUAUAACAUCAAAACAGAUGGUGCAUGGUUGUCGUCAGUUCGUGUCGUGAGAUGUUGGGUUAAGUCCCGCAACGAGCGCAACCCUUGUCAUUAGUUGCCAAUAUUAAGUUAGGAACUCUAAUGAGACUGCCGUAGGUAAUACGGAGGAAGGUGGGGAUGACAGUAAAUCAGCAUGCCUCUUACGUCUUGGGCUACAAACGUGCUACAAUGGUAGAUACAAAGAGACGCAAAGCAGUAAUGUGGAGCAAAUCUCAAAAAAUCUAUCCCAGUUCGGAUUGUGGGCUGCAACUCGCCCACAUGAAGUCGGAAUUGCUAGUAAUCCCGAAUCAGCAUGUCGGGGUGAAUGCGUUCUCGGGUCUUGUACACACCGCCCGU